CAGUAGCCGCGGUAAGACGAACCGUGCGAACGUUAUUCAGAAUUACUGGGCUUAAAGCGCGUGUAGGUGGGAAGGUACGUCUGUCGCUGAAAUCCCCCGGCUCAACCGGGGAACGGGCGCGGAUACGGCCAUCCUCGAGGAACGUAGGGGGAUCUGGAACUUCCGGUGGAGCGGUGAAGUGCGUAGAUAUAGGAAGGAACACCAGUGGCGAAGGCGACCACCUGGGCUCAUACUGACACUGAGGUGCGAAAGCGUGGGGAGCAAACAGGAUUAGAUACCCCUGUAGUCCCUGUCUCUUAUA
RNAcentral lists this ribosomal RNA (301 nucleotides) under uncultured bacterium. RNAcentral's name for it is "partial 16S ribosomal RNA". It matches the Rfam family "Bacterial small subunit ribosomal RNA", at positions 509 to 808 of the family's 1533-position model. The record is from RNAcentral.